This is a transfer RNA of Ipomoea nil (Japanese morning glory), 73 nucleotides long. It matches the Rfam family "tRNA". Rfam says of the family: Transfer RNA (tRNA) molecules are approximately 80 nucleotides in length. Their secondary structure includes four short double-helical elements and three loops (D, anti-codon, and T loops). Further hydrogen bonds mediate the characteristic L-shaped molecular structure. tRNAs have two regions of fundamental functional importance: the anti-codon, which is responsible for specific mRNA codon recognition, and the 3' end, to which the tRNAs corresponding amino acid is attached (by aminoacyl-tRNA synthetases). tRNAs cope with the degeneracy of the genetic code in two manners: having more than one tRNA (with a specific anti-codon) for a particular amino acid; and 'wobble' base-pairing, i.e. permitting non-standard base-pairing at the 3rd anti-codon position. The record is from Rfam. Lineage: Eukaryota; Viridiplantae; Streptophyta; Magnoliopsida; Solanales; Convolvulaceae.
GCGUGUUUAGCUUAGUUGGUAGAGCGCAAGGCUCUUAACUUUGUGGUCGUGGGUUCAAUUCCCACGGUGGGCA